Long non-coding RNA from Capsella rubella, 449 nucleotides. RefSeq lists it as uncharacterized. The transcript has 2 exons. The record is from RefSeq and is a predicted model, not a curated record. NCBI's taxonomy places the organism in Eukaryota, Viridiplantae, Streptophyta, Magnoliopsida, Brassicales, Brassicaceae.
AAUGAAAAUGAAAAACUGCAUUGUAGUGAUGAUGGUGUUGGCCGUAGCUAUGGUGACUAUGGUAGAAGAAGUAGAAGGGACUGCAUGCAUGAGCAGGUGCUUGUUCUUAUGUGGUUUCUUUUUUCAACAUCCAGUUUCUUGCGAAGACAAAUGUAAUCGCAAAUGUCAUCCUUAUGAUCAAUCUCAAUCACCAUCGCAGAUGGAGACUAUAGGAAUGAGAAACAUAAAAUCGUAGUUACGUCGACAAAGGAGUUGUUGAUCUAUUUGUAAGCAUGUUGAAGCUACCAGAUCAAUAAAAAUCAUGUUUAAACUUUUAUGUAUAAUUAAUUAUAUCAAUAUCAAUUCAGAUUAUUUUUCUAAAAUGGGGAUGACAGAGAUUUGGAUAGUCUCAAAGAAAAUAUAUUGUUUGAUUGAACAUGUGUGACACUGAGAGACAUACUUCCAAAUUA